AACUAAAAUACUCUGUCAAGUGACUCUCAGGGUCUCACCCUCCUUUAGCUGGAACUGAAUGCCAUCUCAUGCUCCCAGACUCCAGCCACUCAGGGUGUGGGUGAUGACCCGCCCUGCACUGGGUUCUCAGGGUCACGGAUGGUCUCUGUCAUGGAAAGGUUUUUCUGGGCGGAGAAAAGGGUUGGGAUCUGAAAGAUGGGGUCCUCUGCCUGGCAGCAGGAAGGUGGACAAAGGCUGGUGCCCAGGCCUGCGUGGGCUGCGGUGCCAACCAGCCAUUAUCCCGGGGAUGGGGAUGGCGCCUGUCCCCACACCCAGGAGCGGGAUUGGCCCUUUCCUUCCUCCACCUCACGCCCACUUCUCUCUGCCCAUUCCCCUCCCACUAGAGCUGCGAGGCGCCCCAGGUUCAGCUGCCGCUCACCCCAAAAUCUUGUAAACAAUGGGAAGAAAGAAGAGGAGAAUGGAGUGGUUCAGGGAAGACAGCCAUGGAGAGGGAUGGGGGCCGAGUCCUGCCCUGUGCUCAGCCUGGCCUCUGUGAGAUGUUGCCAGGAGCAGAAACUCCUUAGGCAGCAGAGCAGCCAGACUUCUUACAGCCUCCCCAGGGGGACGUGGUGGGUGGAGAGGGCCUCUUGGAUCAGCUCAGAUUGGGAACUUUCCUUGGUAUUCCUUAAGCAUAAAAGGCUGCCUGCCAAGGUGCAAGGCAGAAGACGCAUCGCCUGCCUCACACAGCAGAGUUUUCCAUACUAGGGGUCACAGACCAUUAGUGGGUUGUGAAAUCAAUUUAGUGGUUUACAGGCAGCACUUUGAAACAAGAGCCCCAGUGUAUUGCUUACAGAAAGUGAGUUUUUCUUUUUUUCAAUUGUAUGUACAUGUAUCCAUACCUAUACUUACAUUAUAUCUAAAUAUCUGUACUGGCUGGUGAUGAAAAGUUUACUAGAUUUAUUUCUUGCCGUGGCUUUAGGGUCCCCCAAAAUUGAAAAACAUUGGCCUAGACUAGGACACCAGUGCUGGGCCCAGCUGGCCCUGGACGAGCCCAAAAAGACCAAACCCGCAGCUCAGGGCGUAUUUUGGCCUCGUGGAGCUGACAGCCCGGGAUAGGUGACUAUGUCAUUGGGCCCCGUCUCUCCUUGGUAGGAUGACAUUCGGGGGCCCCUGGAUGGGAAGGACUGUGACAGGAAAGCACCUUAGGGGACUCUGGAUGUAUCUCUAGCUGUCUAAAUGCUGCGGCUCUUCAUCAUGCAUGCGGCUAUUCAUGUUAGCUUCUGAGAUGCACAGACUGGAAAAAGAAAGCCAAGCAGAACCUGAAAGAACUGGUCAAUGGUGAGGCGGGAUGGGAAAACAGGGAUUUGUCAGGAAGUCAGCAGCAUUCUCGGCCAUGUUACUAUUUGAGCUUAGAGGAUGGGCAGGGACAAGCGCUCAUCUUUGCCAAAAGCACGAAAUCCAAGAUCAGCUGGAAGAGUCGGAGGUGCCAGAGAUGGGGACCCUCUUCCCGGCAGAUCAGACUCACAGGGCCCACUGGGAGACCAUUAGAGAAAGCACAAGGGUCUGGAGAGGGGGCCGGCCCUGCCAGAUUCCUCAGUCAAAGCAGGCACUUCUGCUGGCUGCCGGUUGCAUUCGAGAAAGAGGAAAGAGGGCAAGACUUUGAUCCUUCACUGCAGGAAUGCUUCUCAAAUUACUGAGGAUCAGAGAAUGGCGUCCAGAAUGCUAAGAGAGAGGAGAAAGAAUAUGAAUGUGUGUGUGUGUACACAUGAUGCUCCUGUGUGGCUUCUAGCGGUGACAGUGUUUGGCUGGGAAGAUGCGCUGUGUGGGGCAUCCCCGAAUCAGGGUGGUAGGAGAGCUACCCAGAGAGAUGGCACAUUUUACCAAGGAAAAAAUUGUAUGUAUUUAUUAGCACACUGCCUUGAAUAUAUACUACAUACUUCAUUAGAGUGAUUUCACAGAGAUUUCAGAAUUAUUUGUGCUUGUUAAUUGCUGUGGAAACCAGGAAGAGAGUAGUUCAAAGGGGUUGGUCCUCCAGGUGUGGAUAGCGGGUAGAAAUAACUGAAAUUGGGAUUCUAGCAUGGAAGCCCCUGCUUUCGAAACUUAAAGUAUGCAUUCUUCUUUGCUGCUUUCAAAACCCCCUUCAUUUCCCUGCUGACAGAGAACUUUCCCUCAUGUCCCUCCCUCCUCCCUUGUUCCGGCUUCUCAGUGCUACCCAUCUCCCCGGCCUUCAAUACACCAUGAAGAGGGUAGAAAAAUUAACUUGACCCAGAGAAGGGAUGGCUUCCGGGGUCAGUCUAGUCUGGGCUACUUCCCAGGCCUGGGCCUCAGGCGAUUGGAACUUGCAUUUACUUCCGGUUGGUAAUACCAAGAAUGGGUCUAAUGUGACUUGGAUCCAUUGCUGAGCUCAUGUAAGAUAGCAAAGGCCACCAGUGAGUGAGGUGUUUACUUCGUUAUUGUCAUUUCCAUCACCCCUGAGGACACCCUGAAGCAGCAGUGACAGGUGGCCAUUUCUCACAACCAGCACUUGUGAGCCCCCGUGUCGGCUGGCACUGUGCCUGGGUGGGGGAGGGCUGAAGCCACCACCUCUGCCUUUGAGAAGGCUCUGAUCUCGUCGGGGAAAGCAUGGAGACGUGGACUAGAGGACAAUGACAGCUAGGACGAGGCCAAGAAUGCCACUGUGUGAAACCUAAUGUCACCGCUAUUGGCACUUUAAAAUGGGGUGCAUUUUGAAGAUUAAAUUUCUGUGUUGACGGGGAAAACUUUUUGAGACCCUGGGGAACAUCCUUCCAGAUGCUUUAACAACUUUCACAGUGUGGACUUGAGUCAAUGAAACUAUUCCUUACGGGCAAAGAUUCCCGAGAAGACUAGUACUUGCCAGAAACCAGCUGGGCAACAGUGGCACUUUUUAAACUAAAUUAAAAAAAAAUUGAGACAAUCGUGCUUGCCAUCUUUCCCUCUGAUACUCGGUGGUAACUAUGGAAGGACUCAACCAGUGGUUUGGGUCUGUGGUUCCCAAAUUCUGUUCCGGGGUGCCCCAGGGCACUGUGACGGACUCACAAGAGUGCCACGGAAUAUUGAAAGAUUUUCAAAGCGAACACAGUGACAUCUGCCAGGCACCACGCUAUUAAGUUGUUUUGACCUAACUGCCUAUUAAUGGAACUAUCAGGCAUUUCUUUCAGCCCAGGAGUACUGCAAAGCAGUCUUGGGACUCUCAGGGCACUUUGAGCUGAGAAUGUUCGGCAACUCUUUACGGAUUUAGUGUGGUGUCACCGCCUACCCAAUCUGAUGGACACCAGGCAAUAUGCCCGCUCACAGACGUGCCUUCUGCGUAUCCCCUCCUCAGGCUUGUCAUUGGCCAGUUCCUUUGAACUUGCCAUUGCCAAUCUCUUUCUGUAAAAUAGUUGAAUGUUUGGCGUGAGCUUGAUCUUGAUUCACAGCACCCACCUAUAGUUUGGCCCCAGAGGCAGCCAAAACUCACGCCUUUUGGGCUAAGAACGAUCCAGUGAGUCAGUGGCUGUGGUAGAGGCUGUGAGUUUUCAUCCUUGGGGCUGGCCCUCAAACGAUGCACAAAGGUUGCCUUUAGGCCGUCUGAUAAUGGCACCCGCCAACUUCUCCUCCUGGACCGUAUCACAUUCUUCCCUGAAGGUGCCAGCUGGAUCUCUGCUGACCCCCUUCCUCUCUCCCAUCGCCUUCCCCUGCAGGCCCUGAAGAAGCCUCUCCCCCUCUGUGCUCCCCUGUGGAUUCUGCUGUCCCCGGGGCUUCACUCAACGGUUGCCUUCAACUGCCAUCGGAAUUUUCUCUCUCUAAAAUUCUCGGAGGUUGGUGCUCUGGCCCUGCUGCCGGGAGGGCUAUCAGGCCUCAAGGAUGUGGUCCAGACCUUUGUGUGGGGACACAGCAGCUGGCACACUGGGGAUGCUCAGUGAACGUGUGAUGAAUCAACUUAGUAACUGAAUUCUCAGCACGGGUUCUGGGCCAGCCACACCUGCCUGUGAGACACUCUUGUCACUGCCUGACUGUUUUCCAGGGGCUCUCCCUGCCUUAGUUGAAGAGAAACUUGGUAUGGGAGCCUUGGCAGGCCCAGCAGAGGAGGUUUGUGGCUGGAGGACUUUGGCCCCCUCCUAUGGCCUCUCUCCUGUCCCACUGAGUUGUGCCUAUUCAUUGCCAAGGUUCUUGUGUCUUUUUGGGCAGGUGGCUGGGUGCGCACAACCCACAGAGAUGGGGCAGGGCUAUAUGGGGAUUUAUGUGCAGAAUUUAAUAACCUUUUGCCCUUCUCCUGGGCACCGGGAGAGAAGACUGGAUGUCUCUGAGGUAGAGGUGUCCACACCCCUUCCCUACCCGGGGGCCCUGCCUCCCAAGGCUUGGUGCUUCCUUGUUCCUAUGACUCCGAGACCGUCAGAGGCUGGAGAGGGGUGCACUGGGAGGGGGCUGGAGAAGAGGCCUCCCCUGCCUUUGACACCUGGACUGCUCAGUGCUGCCAUCCACUCUGUGUCAGCAUCGAGAGGGUGUUUUAGAGAUGGAAAAAGGCCCUGAUCUUUUCCAUUUUUUGAGUACCUUGAAUAUUAAAAAAAAAAAGAAAAAUGCCAAAAAUGGGUACAAAAAAUUGUAGGUUGUACAGUCUAUUUAAUUGCUGAAUAAAUGAAUGCUUUUUAACACAUAAAAGUAUAAUUAGGCUGGAUAGACCCUCCUUUGGAGGGAAGGCCUGUGGUUUGAGGCCCUUUGUGAAUGAGGUUCAGGACACGUGGCCCUCCUGGUGCUCUGCUCCUCUUCAUCCCCCACGUUAGGUCCAGGCAUCAUUGGGGGCUCUCCUGCCAGUGGGCUCAGGAUCCCACUUUCCUGGUGGACCCAGGCUCUCAGACCAACUCUGUGUCCCUGGGCAGGGGAGUAGAGCCCUCAGGCUGGCCUGGCUCGGCCUGUCACUGGCAGGGUCUCUUUGCUGGUUGGGAUCAACAGGAGGCCAAGGGAACACUCCAGGCAGUGCCUGGGUCACGGCGCCCUCCUCCUAGGUGGGGCCCAUCACUGGGGUCUCCAGGGCCUUGGUUACACACGGGCAAAGGAACCCCUAUAGCUCCCACUCAGGCCUUCUGUGCUUUCAGACCUAAGCAACAGCUCCACCACCGGGGGCGAACUUUCUGCUGGUUUCUUUGUGAUGGUAGCAGCUGUUGGCUCACUCCUCACGUGCCUAUGUUGGCUGGGCAUUGUGAUAAGAGCUGAGAAUGUGGUGAGGGUUAUUCCCAGUGGCUGUCCUAGAGGGGUUGACCAUUGACAUGGGAGAAAAGCACAAGAGCAUUGGUCACGUCCAUGUAACCGAGGGAGCGCUCUGCUCUGGUGGUGACAGAAUCCCAGAAGAGGGCUGCCCACAGGGGCCUAAGUUCCUGUGGGCUUCUGGAGCAGAGGGAGCCUGAGCUGAAUCCCAUGAAGAUAGGACUUAGCCAGGCCGGGAGUGGGUGGUGAGAGAAUUUAAGCGAUGGGGGCACCAGUGUGGGCAAAGGCACAAAGGUUAACAGGGCGAGGGGGAGAAAGGGGGGAACUGAGUAUCGAGGAAACAAGUGGGAGGUGGGUGUGGAGAGGGAUGGGGAGGCAGAGACAGUGAGCAGCAGGGCAGCACAAGGGUCAGACGGACGUUUGGAUGGAACUCUUUGGCUGCAGUCUGUGGGGGACAGAUCCAAGUGAGGUUAAGAGUAGGGCAAGAGUGCGGGCGGCUGCAAUGGACCGGGCAGGAGAUAGACGCUGAGCGUGGAGGACGGGAGGUGGGCUCGAGCGGAGGGAAUGAGUGAUUGCACGUGUAGGGGUGGCCCUGGGUACAUGCCACCAAAUAAGAAAGGAACAGAGUUGCAAGGUGGGGGUGACCAUGGCGAUGUCUCUGUGGCCUCAGGGGAAAUGGAAAGGAAGGUGUCCAUGGCUCCUGACUGGGCUAGGCUGUUGGACAUCAGCAUUCACGAGGCUUCUGUGAUCAGAGCUGAUGGGAGAUGCAGCCCAGGGAGGGUGGGGGGAGCGGUGGGCGAGGAGGGAUCCCUGGAGACAAAUGUGUAAGGGACAGGACCGAGGAGCCAGAUGAGGCAGAGAGAGCCAGGCAGGGGAGAGAGGAGAGUUUGGCAGAGAACCCAGAGAGUGAGGUGGGAGGGCUGUCCCCCACCAGCCUGUGAAGGAACUCCUGGAGGGCAGUGAUGUCCCCUAUGGUACCCAACAUGUCUGACAUACAGUAGGUACGAAAUUAAUGUUAUUAAAUCAUUGAGCACAAAUGCGGCACAGAGGCCAGUAAAAGGAGGGCUGAAAACGUCCAGUGGAUUUGGCAAUAAGGGUGGGGCAUUCCCCCAGGGAAAGGUAGGAGCGGGACCUAGAUUUCAGCGGAGCGAGGGAGGGAGCAGGCUGCUUUCUGGGUGGGGUUGGGUAGGGUAGGGAGGUGAGGAAAGAGAAGACAGAAAGUCCCUUUAUUCUGUUUAGAAGUUUGACCAAGACAGGAAGGAGAGAAAGUGCCAGACUCAUGAUUGGAGCAUUUUUAAAAAAUUAAAAAUAUCUUUUACUGCUCCAUCCCACCCACAUUAAGGAAAAAAUCCCACAUGCCUUAUAGAAAAGCUAGGAGAUACGUCUAAGGAAGAAGAAAAUAAAAAUAACCCGUAAUUCUACCCAUUGGAAAUAUAUACUGUUAAACCUGGAGUAACUUCCUUCCAGACUUUUGUUUUUGUUUUUUAGUAGAAAUAGUAUCACGCAGUACAUUCUUACUUUGCAAAGUAUCUUUUUCACUUAAUAUUUCUUGAAUACCUUUUUCUGUCCAAGCUACUAUUCUUCCAAAACAUCCUUUAAAGUUUUACCUACCUGUCUACCUGAUAGCUAAGAUUCAGAGGAUUCAAAAUGCAACAGGUACACACGAGCAUUCUGUGAAAAGUUGCCUGUCUCUGACCCACCCAGUUCUUGUCCCUGAAGCCAACUGGUAUUACAACACCCACUUGGGUGGUUAGAUAAUAUUCCCAUGCGUGACUGUUCCGAAAUUUAUUUAAAUAACUUCCCUGUCUUGGAUAUUUCGAUGCUAUUUAGUUUUAUUUUUCUAUUGUACAUGAGGCCAAGAUGAAUAUCCUUCUAGCAGAAUAUUUGUAUACAUACCUUAUUUUCUUAGAAUAAGUUUCUAAAAGUGGAAUUUCUGGGUCAGAAGGCAGAACAAAUUCAAAGUAAAAAUUGCCAUUCCAGAUUUUACCUUCAAGGAAAUUAACGUCAACUGACACUCCCACAGCAAAGCGUGAGAGUGUUUCCAGCCCCAACAGGCCCUCAGCUUGUGUUAUUAAAACUCAUUUCCUCCAACUGUGCCAACCUAGUGGGUGAAAGAUGGGGGUGAGCACCUCUAACCCUUGCUGUGAGUUGUAUUUUAAGAGAAACAAAUGGCACUUUGGGGGACAAAUGGGGAUUGGAUGUGGAGAGGGCAGCUCUGAGACUGGGAAGGACAAUAUCCAGCUGUGGGGCGAGGUGGCUGCAUUGUCAGUGAGGACCAAGCCUGGGGACAAGGCCCUUCUUCAUUUUCAGAGUAACCGCCAGCCGUGAGAAACGUAGGGGCCUCGAAAGAACCAGAACCUGUAGGCGAGGUCCAGGGAUAAUUGGUACCCAGGCUGAAGUAUUGUUUGCUUUUCCCCUUUUAAGAGGCAGCCCUGUGGGUUCUUUACUGACAGCUUCCCGAUGCGCUGGGAGGGGUUCCAGGAACAGGGACGGGGGAUGGUCUCUCAAGAGCAAAAUCCACCUCUCCCUAGACUUCGCCCCAGGCACAGGCGUAGCGGUGAGAGUCUGGGUCCUUGUGCCCUCAGCUGUAGGGCUGCCUGACUCCUGAUUGGGGAAGGGAGGCUGAGCUCUGCUUGCAACACGUGCCAGCUGAGAGGGGAGACAGGAACACCGUGGAAAUCUGUUGCCCCCUCAGUCAUAAAUCCCAGGUCUUGCAAAGUGGGAGGGUAAACCUGGAUGUCGGGACGGGCAGGCUAUUCCCUCCACAUUCACCCUCCCUUUGGGACUCUCAAAAGUUCUUGCUCUCACCAUGCAGCCCUCAAGGGGAGCUGCUUUUCUUUGGCUUUUUUGCACACUGCGGACUCUAUAGACGAUUCUCUAGACUUUUUAGAGAUUUUUCCCUAAGAAAAACAAAAAAGAGAAACAAACAAGACAGUUUGAUUUACAGUAUGUAUUUACUCAUUUUUGGGCUAGGAUUGCCCGAGGUCACCCUGCAUUGCUUCCAGUCUGACUCCAAGAUUGGGAGGCCAGAUUUAACCCCUACCCCCAGGAGCACCUUCCGGGACUAGAAGCUUCCUAGAAAUUCACAUCCUAGAGAGCUGGCCCAAGAGUGAAAUGAGAGUCCCCACUCACCAUGAAUUUGGAGUUGGAUCUGCUAUAGCUCGGUUCUUCCUCAGUUAUGACUUCUUACUGGUUAUUCUUUUCAAAUAUUGUUUCUCUCCAAGGCCUUGUUUUGGUCUCAGGGGUCAUUUGCAGAGCCUGAAUUCCAGCUAGAUUCUUUAUUGGUCUCUGUUAGUUUCCUGGGGCUGUUGUUACAAAGGACCACGAGCUGCGUGGCUUAAAACAACAGAAACUUAUUGUCUCACAGUUCUAGAGAUCAGAAGUCUGAAAUCGAGGUGUCAGCAGGGUCGAUUCCUCCUGGAGGCUCGGAGGGAGUAUCCCUUCCCUGCCUCUCUCCUCGCUUCUGGUGGUUGCUGGCCAUCCUUUGUCUUCUUUGGCUUGGAGAAGCAUCACUCCACCCUCUGUCUCCACCUACACAUGGUGUUCUCCUCUCUGUACGCAUCUUUGUGUGUCCUCUCCUCUUCUUUUAAGGACACCAGGCAUUAGAUUUAGAGCCCACCCUAAGCCAGUAUGACCUCAUCUUAACUAAUUACAUGUGCAAAGGCUCUAUUUCCAAAUAAGGUCACGUUCUGAGAUUCUGGCUGGACAUGAAUUUUUGAGGGUCACCAUUAAACCCACUACAGUGUUUCUGCCUUCAGACACUUUCACCCACCAAUCCAAUCCUAUGUACCCUGUUGGAGCCAUUUUUCUCAAAGAAUGCUUAGCAGAAGUACCUCACCUUGCCUCAAAAUCCUUCAAUGACUUCCCACUGCCAACAGAAUAAAGUCCUAUCUCUUUAGCUCAGCUUUAGAAGGCUCCCCAUAGUCUGGUCCGAACAAUUUUUUCACAUUCCAUUUCUCUACUCUUCUACACACACCCUCCAAUCACAUUUGAAAGAUCUUCGACAUUGUUGAACGUGUUGUAAGCACUCUCAUCUCCUGCCCCAUCUCUGUUUCUUGACUAGAUGCCCUCCUUCUCAAACACCCGUGUCGUAUCAUACCUUUCCUCUCUCAUGAGAACAUUUCCAGCCAGCCAAGGUCGAAGGCUGCUCUUUGCUCACAGACCAACUUGACUCCACACUCUUCACCACUCCUCAGUCUGGAGGGAUGCUAUUCUCUGCUGGAGUCAAACUUUUACCCAAGAAUGAGCCUGUGUCUUAAACUUCUUUGGGUCCUUGGAUAUGAAAGUGGUGUAUUGAAUCAUGUGGCUUCAUGGUAAAUGAUUGUGGCUGCUGCUGCUGGUGUGAGUAUAUGAGGGGGUUGAUUUGGACCUGAAGUGAUGAGGACUAUCAUUUUUCAUUGCAUUAACGGAAUCACUCCAUGCCUAGAGCCCCACGAUGUCUACAGCAAAUGAAGAGCCCUGUGCUGAGAUGAAAUGAGGGCAAAGGAGAGAAUGCUUGCUGCUUUGAGAAUCAGGGGCAGCGAUCUUUCAAAGGAAGAGUGAAUGGGCAGAAUUGCUGCAGGAGAAGCGAAUCCUCCAGACCAGAUGCUGAGGGGCAGUGGGCUCAGUGGGAAAAUUGUAACCAUAUCCGAGGGGAAGCCCUGCCCCCAUCCUCCUGGAAGGACAAUUGGCGUGAGCAACAUGGCUGGCAGGGGUACGGCAGGGGAGGGAGGUAAAUGAGGGGACAUAUAGUGCAAUGAACGGAUUAGAUAUCAACACCUUGCACUAUCAGCUUUAAUAGAUGCUCUGAAAACUUGGAAGUAACAAGGACAUUUUUAUUCCAAAGAUUGUCAUUAGUGUCUUUUGCUAGCCCCUCCUAAGUGGCAGUGGUUGACCAUUGGCAACUGACUCUUCAAACUCUUCUCCAAAGCAGUGCAAGGAACUUAGUUCAUCUGGAUGCAGGUUUAUUCCAAACUUUCUUGCCUUGUGUGCUCUGUCCUUCCCCUCUGAUUAUGCUUCAGCCACAUCAAAGCCCCAUAGGCAUUGCCCUGGGGGAUCAAGAAGCGGUCCACCCAACAAAGAAGAGUAGAGGUACGAAGAAUCAGGGUGAGAAUUCUGGGCAGAUGCUCAAGGUGUGGGCUCCAGGCUGAGCCCAUGGACAUGUGACAUAAUACAUUUCAGAUAUGCCAGGACAAGUUUCCAGUGUCAAAAUCUUUGAAGCCAUCAGGUCUCUUUCUUGCUGAGUCUUGGUAAUAUUCCUUGUGUCAUAGAUUUAGAAAGUCAAGCUAAAGAAACACCUGAGGAAGAAUGCCUAUUUCUGGACUGUUUACGGACAGUUUGCAAUGGUGGCUCUGAUCCUUGCUCAAUUGACUCAUAGCUCUACAUGCACGGUCUUGCCUGGCUAGAUUCAUAAAAUAUUAUAGAAACAGGCCACCCUUAACUCCAUUAAAAACUUAUAGUUUCUUAGACAUUCCAUCUAAAUGGUUUGCCAGUUUUCCUCUUCAUAAAUUGCCAAUUUGGGUAUUUCAGCAGUCAAUAUUCAACACAAAAGGAAGAAUUUAGUCAAAUUUCUUUUGUCAGUAAGUCUUCUGUGUGACGUAUUUGUUUCCAGGUCCUAAUGACAAUUCUGCUCAGGUUCAAACAAAACAAAACCCCAAAACCAAGCAUACGAAAAGGAAUGAUUCAAGUUUGAGUUAGUCCUAUCCAUCCACAUAAAGACUAUACAUGAGUGUGACACGUUUUGAGAAUAAGGAAGGGGAGAGGAGACAUGAGGAAAUGGAUGCCUUGUUCAUGAUCCUGCGCUUAAGCAGUGAUUUUUCUCUACCACUCUGUGUUACUAGAAUUUUCCAACCACCUCUGACAAAAGGAGAGUACAAAGAACACUUGACACAAAGUAAAACGUGAAAAGAUCUUUCAGUGGUUCAGCGUCCUGGCUAUGAUUCAGAAUUAUCCAUUAGAUUAAAAAAAAUAUGCAUGUCCAGGUAUGCUCCAUAGCUCAGUCUGGCGCCAUUGUCCAAUAUCAGAAGGUUAGAGAAGAUGUGGUCAAUUAAUAUAACUCUUCUUGCCAUUUGCUGUCUCCAUUGAGGGACUCUGGGUUGGUCCAACUCUAGUCUAACUUCUGAAACAUCAAGGAUUCUAGGUAGUUGCUUCUGUGUUUCUUUUUCCAACUAGACAGUGAAUUCCUUGAGGGAAAGGAUGAUGUCCAUUUGGCUUUGCAUCUGCAAGGAAGCAGCUCAGUAGCACAUAAGAACACUCUGGUACAUUCUUUUCGAAUGACAGUGGUUUAAAAACAGCAAGGUCCUGUGUAAAGGUAGGAUGUUAUGCUCCUGAUUUCCUUCAGAGUAUAUAAAUAUUUGAUAUGAGGUUGCACCAGGAUUGGGAUUCUGACUCAUAGCAGUGCUGGUACCCAGGGAUCCAUAACUUAGAGACAGAAGAGAUGGAGCUCUGGUGGAAAGGGUGGAGCCAAUGGGAAAUUGUGGUGUGGGUGUUAGGGAUGGAGGGUGAAUUAGUUUCCUACUGCUGCUGUAAUAAGUUACGACAAGAUGAGGGGGUGAAAACAACACAAAUUGUCUUAAUGUUCUGCAGGUGAGAAGUUCAAAGUGGGUCCCACUGGGCUAAAAUCCAGACAUUGGCAAGACUGUGUUCCUUCAGGAGGCUUUAGGGGAGAACAGUCGUCUUGCCUUUUCCCAUUUCUAGUGGCCAUCUGCAUCCUUUGGCUCAUCGUCCCUUCCUCCAUCUUCAAAGCAGCAUCUUCAAAUCUCUGCCUCUGACACUGACCCUCCUGCCUCCCUCUUUCACUUAUAAGGACCCUUAAGAUUACACUGGGCUCACUCGGAUAAUCCAGGAUAAACUCCCCAUCUCAAGGUUACCUGAUUGGUUGCCUAAUUCCAUCUGCAACCUUAAUUCCCCCUUGCCAGGUAACAUAACAUAUUCACAGGUUCUGGGGAGCAGGAAAUGGACAUCUUUGGGUGUGGGGGGAGAAGUAUUCUUCUACCACAGAAGGACACUUGGACAUUAUGGAGUCCAGUGUCCUCAUUCUACACGUGAGGAAACUCAGGUUCACAGGGUUUCUGUGAAUUCCAACUGUUUCCUCCACAGGAGAGUAAAUUCCUUCUGAGACCAUCUGUACGUAGAACCCUAAGCAAGAUUCAGCAGGAGGCUGCUGGCUUCCUCUUUCUGCAGUUCUUCCUUCUACACCUGUGCCUCGUGGCUUUCCCGCCCCAUUCAGGGAGGGAUGCCGAAGGGUGUGUUGGGGGGCACAUCUCACCCACAUUCAGACUGAACGGAGAGUAGCCAUUGUAUGGAGUCAGAGAAUGGAUUGGAUCCAUCUCCAAGGACCUUAUUGUUUUGGCAGAAGCACAAACUCUUAGAAAUGCUGCAAGUGCCCAGUUAGGGACACUGAGCUCAGUGACGAGGGGACCCAAGAGUCUGAAAUCCUGGAAUUUCUCCCCAAGGAGGUCCAUGAAGGGGAACUACAGGGUGAGCACCAGCUGGUUGGUUCACAACCGACAGUGACGCUUGCUGCCUGGGCAGCUGCUGUGGGUUUCUCAGUCUGAGACCCUGUCGGACCAGGGCUGGCUCCUGGCAAAAGAGGGUUUCAGCUGCUGGGUUUCCUUUGAGGAGAUGCUGGUGAUUCUGGUCUCAGAGCCCAAGUUUAAGGCAGCAGGUGGUCCAGUAGGUACAACAGCAGCUCUCCUGUCAAAGUCAGGGCCAGAGGAGAAGACACAGGAAGACUUACUGCGCGAAACUUCUACCUGGAAAGAGUAAACUAUGGUCUGGGAGAGCAGAUGCCCAAGGGAGGGGUCAGGUCUCAUUCCUAAAGUCCCCUCCUUCCACAUCACUCCAUCUAGGUAGCUGCUGAGCCCUUUACACUCACCACUGUACCUAGAGCAAGAAACCAAUGAGAACCUGGCCUCUGGCCAUGGACACAAGGGCCUAGGAUCUUGCUUGGAAAGUGAAUUCCUCAGAACUCUGAGAUGCAGCCAGUUUUGGGAGGAAGAUGAGGCGCUGAGGAGAAACAGUAGGGAUCACUGAGGAAGGCAGCCCUGGCCUCUGGAGGAGGCUCACGUGGCUCUGUGAAGCACACAGGGGCUACCUGUAAAAUGACCCAUGACCACCCUUUCUUCUUCUCUGGAGGCUCUUGACAGAGUGACUGGGUCCCACCUCAGAGAGCUACCGCAGUAUAGUACUGCACAAUGCCCCUUCUUCCCCAGCAACUGACUGGGGGAGAGAAGAACCCUGACCCCCAGGGAUGGACAGUGAAAAGCAAAUCAAGGUGUCUACCAGCCAGGUCCAGACUCCAGGCAAAUGUCAUUGGAAAGUAGCCAGCAUGGAGAUCCCACAGUACCCCUCCCUCUAGUAUUCUGAUAUUCUCUGGAGCUGGGAAGCUGGCAAAAAAAAUAAAUAAAUAAAUAAAUAAUCAAGAUUUUAAAGUUUCAAUGGAUUGUUUUCUGUUUCUUUCUACAUUCUCUCCACAUCCUCUCUGGUGGAAGCCCGCCUGUUUUCCUAGCAUCACUGAAGAAUAUGGCGGCCUCCAUUCCAGCUUGAGGUCUGCCCCUUCCUAGGCAGCCGUGAGCUUUCAGUUGAGACACUUGGCAUCCGUUAAAAGGAGAAUAAUAAAAAACGUCAUAGCCAUCUCACUGGCUAUUUCUUCCAGUUGGUGGGAUAGUGCCUGUAAAAAUGUUUUAAAAACAGAGGAAGUGGCAAAUUGGCCUCCAUGAUAAACAGAACUUGAUGCCACAUUUUCUAAAAGUUAAAAUCUCAAUGAACAGAGCAACCCCUAGUGUUUUAUUUCUCGGGGCAAAUGCUGUGUUGCAUUUACGCAUCUGCAAUGUUUUACCAAGAUCCAAGGGGGGUUGUUAUCUUAAUUAACAGGGAGUCUUUCGUUUAUAUAUAGAACUUUUAAUGUAUUUGGAGCUUUUAAUAGAUUUGCAUCUUGCAACUUAUAGUAUCUCACCCCCUGAAGGAGGUAGGGUGCACAUGGUGGAGCAGCUGAUCCUUAAAUUCCAGCCCCUCCCCAUUCUCCCCUCAACCCUGGGCUGCUGGGUGCUCCUUUGAGUGUAGGAGGUGUCAGAGGUACAGGAAGUACAGCUCCUGGGCCUCUGAUGGCUGCGGGGGAGGAUGACUUUAGGGUCUCAUUCAAAAACUGGCCAUGAGCCCAGCCUGGCACGGGAUCUCUGUCUCUGAGUUAAUGGUGUGGGGGCUCCCAGCAGUGGUUGACCCAAUGGACCAACUCCAUUGUAGGAAAUGUAGGCUCUGCUUCUAUAGUGUCCCAAAUGGGGUGUGGGGUGACAAUGUGGAAGUGACAGUGGUUGAAACAACUCCUACCCUUCAACCCCUAGGGUUGCCUUGGACAGAGGCCAAAGGAAGGAGAUAGGAAUACACAGGGAUUUGUGCUUUGUAUUUUUUUUUUUCAUUGAGAAGGGGGAAUUGUGAGGGAGAAUAAAAAAGGCUGUGGAAAAGGAAGGCUUGUUUGUUUUAAGGGAAAUUAGAGUGGGAUCAGGAAAGACAGUCCUUCCAAAUGAUAUUUAGUUAACACUGGGGCUCUGGGGUGAUAAUGGCUAUUGUUUUUGAGUUCUUAUUAUCUACCUGGCACUGGCUAGGUUCUCCAAUUGGGUAUGGACUUCUCAAGUCACAAACCCCACUGUAGAUGAAAUACCUUCUAUGACUCAAUUUCUAUUCAGGGUUCACAUUUCAUCCAAUAGUAGAAACUUAAUCAAUUCAAGAUAAUUCAGCCAAUCUCAGUUUUCUUAGCAUGCUUGGGAGUUGGCAAAUUUAUUCUUUCCCCAGGGAGUUGCAUCUAAGAUCUGGGGACCUUAACAGACAUUGAGGGGGAGGGGGUGAUUGUGGGAGAGUGGUGGUCUUGAGAGCUAGUCUCCUUGGAUCCUAACCCUGACAAGUUUUGGGGCCUGUGGGACUUCUCCCAGCCACUUGUGUGUGUGUCAUCUCAGCUUCUCUCUCCUGAACCCCCAGGAGGCUGCAGGUCCUCUGGGCCCAUUUCAGCCCUGUGACAGCUUUGCCUUUGGCCGCCUUCCUUUACAGGCGCAUGAGCAAGUUCUUGGGCCUCGCAGCUUGUCUGGGCCCCUCUGAGCCAGCGUGGGCUUCAGAGGCACUCUGCACAGUCCUGCUGUGUUGCUUUCUUCCCAGCCUAGAUGCUGGCCUUUCCCUGGGAACACCUCCCUCUCCGAGGUGCAGGUGUGGAAGUAGGAACAGGGAUGCUCGAGCAAGUCUUCCUCCAAACCCACUUUUAUGCCAGGACUUGGCCUUCCAAUCCUCUCCAAAGACACUGGCUGGUUUCUCUUUGCAUCUCGGCUAGAACAACCUGGCCCUGAAGGCAGGGAGUGGAUGCUGCCCGGACCAAGAGGAGGAGCAGUUAAGACACACGGGCACAUGUUUUAAAGUCUUGUGAUGCCUGCUUGUUCUCUCUGCUUCAACUAUUCUGAAGUAUUUGCUGCAUCCCCAUUCUGUGACUACAAGGCUGAGACACAUCCGGAGGGAUGUUUUUGGUCCCCUAUCAUGAGGUGGGAAGUGGCAGAGGUGGGGUCCAGAGUUAGGAUCUUUUCACUCCAGCUCCCAGUCUGUCCUCUCUACCAAGCCCUGAUCUCUAAAAUGAAAGCCCUCAUCAGCGUGUUCUGUUUCAGGGGCAACAUCGCUCUGCCUUGAGCCUUUCCUCAUUCUUCAGAGCAUUAUUUACAAUAGCCAAGAUAUGGAAGCAAGCAAGGUGUCCAUGGAUAGAUGACUGGAUAAAGAAGAUGUGGUACAUAUACACGAUGGAAUAUUACUCCGCCAUGAAAAAUAACGAAAUCUUGCCAUUUGAAACAACAUGGAUGGACCUAGAGGGUAUUAUGCUAAGUGAAAUAAGUCAGACAGAGAAAGACCAAUACCAUAUGGUUGCACUUAUAUGUGGGAUCUAAAAAAUAAAAGACAUAAACAAGACAAAACAGAAACUCAUAAAUACAAAGAACCUCCUGGUGGUUGCCAGAGGGAAGAAGGUGGGUGAUGGGCAAAACAGGUGAAGGAGAUUAAGAGGCACAAACUUCCAGUUAUAAAAUAAAUACGUCAUGGGGAUGUAAUGUACAGCAAAGGGAAUAUAGUCAAUAAUACUGUAAUUACUUUGUGUGGUGACAGAUGGUAACUAGACUUAUCAUGGUCAUCACUUUAUAACAUACAUAAAUGUCGAAUCAGUAUGUUGUGCACGUGAAACUAGUAUAAUAUUGUAUGUCAAGUAUGCUUCAAUAAAAAAAAGUAGAGCCAGCCACCAUGGCCUAGCGGUUAAAUUCAGUUCCCAGGCAUGGACAUACACCACUCAUCUGUCAAUGGCCAUGCUGUGGUGGUGGCUCACAUAGAAAAAAAGGAAGGAUUGGUAGCAGAUGUUAGCUCAGGGCAAAUCUUCCGAGCAAAAAAAAAAAAAAAAUGGUAAAUUUAAUGAGUACGUUUUAAGAAAAGCAAUUCUCCAGAUUUCUGUAAGAAUUUUCUUAACACGCCUCAAAGGAUCCAGAAGUCCCAGAAGUCCUCAGUCUGCAUCCUCUGAUUAGACUCGCUCUUCCUGAAGCAGCAGUGCUCAAGUUCAUAAAUGAUUUCCUACCCAGUUCUGUUGUGUUGUGAUUUAGUUACUACCUUCCAUGAUUAUUUCCUACUCUUCAAAUGCAUUGUUAUAUUAUUAGUUUCAUAGGUUUCUGUGGGCUAAACUUGGAACCUUACCACAACCGAUUGCAUUAUUUCUUUAGAAGUGUGUUUCGAGUUCCUUAUCCAAUGUCUAGAUGUCUUUUUAGGACUCAUUCUUUUCAGCGGGAAACUUCUUAUGUUUUGAUAUUAAAUUUAGGCAAAUUUUCUCUCUGGCAAACAAUUUGAGAAAAAUGUGGUAUCUUUAUUAUUUUAGCCUAAGAGUUUAGCUCCUGCAAUAGUAUGUACUACUCAAAAAUGCAGGCACGAAGUUUAUAGAGCAGGGAGGAUUAUUAAGAAAAACAGACUAAGAGAAAUGGACAUCUUUCCCCAUCCUCAUCCCAGGAAAGAGAGGCUGGCGCCAUUGGGUUUCUUUAUUAAUGUUUAUUUCCCUUUCCUAAGAUUUCUCUCCGUUAGUGAUUAUUUGCAUGUGUAUCAUAAGGAAGGCCAAAGGGAUUGAAUGAACCUGUGUCCCUUAGUGGCAGAUAGAAUAAAUCAACUUUCAGCAAGUGGUCAGGUCAAGCUGCAGGCCCUUGGGUCUCUAAGGCCCCUGAGAGGAUGAUAGCUGAUGUCUAAGGGGUCAGUCAUCUUCAAGCCCAAGAAGGGCUUCAAGAAGGGUUGAUGAAUUGGCACAACCCAAAGACGGUUUUCAUUUUCUUCCAAGACUGGGAAAGAUGAGUGGGGCUACAUGGCAAGACCAGUGCCCCAUUGGUUGGGCACCAGUGUUUGGCCACAUAUCUGGAAAAUCCAGGCUAGCAUGGAAUUUCACAGACUUCUCCAAAAUUCCAGGGGCACUGAGUAUACUUGAUGGAUAUUUGCACUCACGACGCACCACCCUUAUGCCCUAGAAUCCGUUGGGCUGUUUCAGUGCAUCCUUCCCAGCCCUCCUGAGGCUUUGGUGUGCCUGGGAAUUUACAUUCCCCCUCCCAGCCCAGGAUCUGACCCCUCACCUUUUUUUUUCCACACUAACCAGGGGUUUAAUAGAAAUACAACCAGAACAGAAAAACUCAAAUCAUACAUAAAUCCAAACCAGAAUGCCAAGUGAUCAACACAAAGAGCAGAAUUUUUGACUCUUCAACUCAGUCAGCCCCCAAAUAAAAACCAACAAAGAUAGUGGAUCAAGAGAAUAGAGACAAAGAGUCACGUGAAGCUACAGGAGGAGAGUUGGGGAUGUUAUGUGUGUGUCACAGGGAACAGUCAAAGAAGACCCCAUGGUCAGGGCAGACCAUGGGCCAGGAUGGCCUAGCCGAUAGUGAGAGCCCACCUCCUUUGCCUGCCAAAUGGACAGCUCUGAGGAGGACUUCUACUCCAGAAUUGCCCUGUAGAAGGCAGCUGAAAGUCACCCUCUGGGGGUUUAGUCUGAAAUUGUACCCCUGACUGCCAUCCUCCCAGUUUUUGCCCUGCUUGCCCCGUUCUCUUGUGGUUUUCUCCUGGGAGCUCUUCCUUAGUCCAAUGUUGGGACACAAAUCUUUGUCUUACGGUCUGCUUCUGGGAAACCCUACCUAAGUCAGUGGUUCUUUCUGAAUGUGAGCCACAGUGGAGGGCAUGCUAGUGGUUAGGUCCUGCCUGUCUACUAGUCAACAUGUAGAGUGUUCUUUAAGCAGGACAAUCUUUUGCGAAAAGCCUCCCACCCAGAGACAUUAGUAGUUUCCCUCAUGGGCAUGGAAUUGGGUGGCCAGGACCUAGAACAAAGGCAGGUCCCUAGAUGAGCCCUAAAUAAACAUUGUUCCUGGUGGCCAUGGACUGGCCUCCAUCCUAGGCAAAGGAACCAGGCGAUAGGCAAGGUGAACGUGUAAAUAAUAAAGAGCUAUUGAAGGACCAAAUCCUAGGGUAAAAGCUAACAAAAGGAGUGACAGAGAUGGAGAGACUAAUAAUGGCGUACUUAUUAGAGAUGCUUCCUUGGGGAGCAGUGGUAGCUGUUGUGUCUCCAAAUCAGAAAGUUAUACCGCCAGCACCAUUCUACUCACUAUUGCUGUGUAACAAACCCCUCCCAAACUUAGUGGCUUAGAAUAACAGCAAUCAUUUAUUUUGCUUAUAAGUCUGCAAUUUGGGCAGGGCUCAAUGGGGACUGCUUAUCUCUGCUCCACGUGCUGGUGGCUUAGGUGGCUCAACUGGGGCUGGAAGGCUCACUUCUAGGAUGGCUCGUUCACGUGGCUGGCAAGUUGGUGUUGGAUUUCAGCUCCUUUCACAUGGAUCUUUUCACAGAGAAGAUUGAACUUCCUCACAGUAUGACAUCUAGCUUCCAAGAGCAACUGCCCUAAGAAUCAGGGAGUGGAAAUUGAUGGUUUAAGAUGUUAGCCUGGAAACUGGCACAGCGUCACUACUGCUGUAUUUUGUUGGUCAGUCACAGAGCCCAGAUUCAAGUGGAAGGGUCAACGACCCCAUCUAUCAAUGAAAGGAAUAUCAAUACAUUUUGCAGCCGUGUUUUUAAACUGCCACAAGCAUCUUCCAUCAAAUUGAGGCAGCUGGAAACCUGCGAGUCAUCUUUGCUGCCUCCAUUUCCUUUAUCCCUACGUUUAAUGCACCACUAAGACCUGUUUUUUAUUGUGGUAAAAUACACAUAACAUAAAAUUCACCAAUUUAUUUUUAAUUUUUAAAAAUUUUUAAAUUUUUGGUGAGGAAGAUUCACCCUGAGCUAACACCUGUGCCAAUUUUCCUCUGUUUUGUAUGUGGGAUGCCUCCACAGCAUGGCUGAUGAGUGGAGUAGGUCUGUGUCUGAGAUCUGAACCUGAGAACCCAGGCAACCAAGGAGGAGUUGGGAAAACUUCAACCACUCAGCCACGGGGCUGGCUCCAAAUUCACCAUUUUGAUAAUUUUAAAGUAUACAAUUCAGUGGCAUUUAGUACAUUUAUGACUUAAAUGUAAACCUUCACCAAUAUCUAGAUUCAGAGCAUUUCCAUCAUUCCAAAAAGAAACUCUGGAGCCAGCCCUGAUGGCCUAGUGGUGAAAGUUCAGCACACUCUCCUUCAGCAGCCCAGGUUCACUUCCUGGGUGCAGAACCACACCUCCCCGUCUGUCCAUUGCCAUGCUGUGGCAGUGGCUCACGCGGAAGAACUAGAAAGACUUACAACUAGAAUAUACAACUAUGUACUGGCGUUUGGGGAGGAAAAAUAGAGACAGAGAGAGAGAGGAAGAUUGGCAACAGAUGUUAGCUCAGAUCUAAUCUUUAAAAAAAAACACAACUCUGUAUCCAUUUGUUACUCCAUUCCUCCUACCCCCCAGCCCCUGGCCAUGACAAAUCUGCUUUCUAUCUCUGUGGAUUUGCCAAUGCUGGAUAUUUCAUAUGCUGGAAUCAUACAAUAUGCGGCCUUUGUGUUUGGCUUCUUCCACUUAGCAUAAUAUUUUCAAGGUUUAUCCAUGUUAUAACAUGUAUCAGUAUUUCAUUUCUUUGUAUUGCUGAGUAAUAUUCCAUCAUAUGGAUAUACCACAUUUUGUUUAUCCAUUUAUCAGUUGAUGACAUUUGAGUUGUUCCCACUUUUGGCUAUUGUGAGUAGUGCUGCUAUGAAUAUUUGUAUAUAAGUUUUUGUUUGAACACCUGAUUUCAAUUCCUUUGGGUAUAUAUCUAGGAGUAGAAUUGCUGCAUCAUAUGGUAAUUCCACGUUUAACUUAUUGAGGAACUCCCAUACUGUUUUCCAUAGUGGCUGCAUCAUUUCAACUUACCACCAACAAUGUAUGAGGGCUCCAAUUUUUCCACAUUCUCACCAAGACUUGUUAUUUUCUAUCGUGAGUGUAAAGUGGUAACUUGUGGUUUUGGUUUGCAUUUCCCUAACGACUAAUGAUGCUGAGCAUCUUUUCAUGCUUGGUCUGUUGGUCAUUUGUAUUUCUUCUUUGGAGAAAUGUCUGUUCAAGCCUUUGGACAUUUUUUAAUUGGGUUGUCUUUUUGUUGUUGACUUGUAAGAGUUUCUUGUAUAUUCUGGACACUAGACACUUCCCAGAUAUAUAAUUAAAAAUAUUUUUCUCCCAGUCUGUCAGUUGUCUUUUUUACUGUCUUUAUAGAGUUCUUUGGUAAAUAAAAGUUUUAAAUUUUGAUGAAGUCUAAUUUACUUUUUCUUUUGUUGCUGCUUUUGGUAUUUCUGAAAAUCCAUUGCCAAUUUUUUUUUAUUUUUUUGAGGAAGAUUAGCACUGAGCUAACGUCUGCUGCCAAUCCUUCUCUUUUUGCUGAGGAAUACUGGCUCUGAGCUAACAUUCAUGCCCAUCUUCCUCCACUUUAUAUGUGGGAUGCCUGCCACAGCAUGGCUUGAUAAGCGAUGUGUAGGUCUGCACUCAGGAUUAGAACCUGUUAAACCCAGGCUGCUGAAGCCAAACGUGCGAACUUAAGUCCUGUGCUACUGGGCUGGCCCCUCCAUUGCCAAAUUUAAGGUCAUGAAGACUUACUACUGUUUUCUUCUAACAGUUUUAUAAUUUUAGCCUUUAUAUUUAGGUCUUUGAUCUUUUUUGAGUCAAUUUUUGUAUAUGAUGUGAGGUAAGAGUCUGACUUCAUUCUUUCGUAUGUGGAUAUCCAGUUGUCCCAGGACCGUUUGUUGAAAAGAUGAUUCUUUCCUCAUUAAGUGGUCUUGGUACCCUUGUCAAAAGUCAAUUGCCCAUAGAUGGAUGGGUUUAUUUCUGGACUUUUAAUUCUAUUCCAUCGAUCCAUAUGCCUAUCCUUAUGCCAGUACCACACUAUUUUGAUUACUCUUAGCAUUGUAUUAACUUUUGAGAUUGGGAAGUGUGUAUUUUCCAAUAUUGUUCUUUUUGAAGAUUAUUUUGGCCAUUUGGGGUCCCUUAUAAUUUCACAUGAAUUUUGGGAUUGGCUUUUCCAUUUUGGCAAAAAAGACCACUGAGAAUUUGAUAGAGAUUGUGUUGACUCUGUGGAACGUCAGGGAGUAUUGUGAUGUUAACAAUAUUAAGUCUUCCAAUAAAUGAACACAGGAUGUCUGUCCAUUUGUUUAGGCCUUUAAUUUCUCUGAGCAAUGUUUUGUAGGAUUCAGUGUACAAUUCUUGUAUCUCCUUUGUUAAAUUUAUUCCUAAGUAUUUUAUCCUUUAGAUGCUAUUGUAACUGGAAUUGUUCUCUUAAUUUUCUUUUCAGAUUGUUUAUUGCUAGUGUAGAGAAAUACAACAGAUUUCUGUAUGUUGAUCUUGUAUCCUGUAACUUUGCUGAACUCAUUUGUUAGCUCCAAUAGUUUUUCAUCGAUUUUAUCUUAAAAAGAUUUAAUCUGGGGCCAGCCCGGUGGUGCAGCAGUUAAGUUCGCACGUUCCACUUCGGCAGCCCGGGGUUUGCCAAUUCGGAUCCCGGGUGUGGACAUGGCACCAUUUGACACGCCAUGCUGUGGUAGGCAGCCCACAUAUAAAGUAGAGGAAGAUGGGCACGGAUGUUAGCUCAGGGCCAGUCUUCCUCAGCAAAAAGAGGAGGACUGGCAGGUUAGCUCAGGGCUAAUCUUGCUCAAAAAAAAAAAAAGAUUUAAUCUUAUAUAGAUUUUCUCUAUAUUAGAUCAUGUUGUCUGUUAUCUGCAAGUAGAGAGAGUUUUACUUCUUCCUUUCCAAUCUGAGUGCCUUUUAUCUCUUUUUCUUGCCUUAUUGGACUGUCUAGAACUUACAGUACAGUGAUAAACGGAAGUGGAAAACGUGUUCAUCAUUAUCUUGUUCCUGAUUGAGAGGAAAGCUUUCAGUCUUUCACCAUUGAGUUUGUUAGCUGUGGGUUUUUCACAAAUAUGUUUGAUCACGUUGAGGAAAUUGCCUUUUUUCCUAGUUUGUUGAGUGUUUUUAUCACAAAAGGGUGUUCAAUUUAGUCAAAAAUUUUUUCUGUAUCAAUUGAAAUGAUCAUAUGAUAUUUUCUUUCAUUUUAUUAACGUGGUGCAUUAUAUUAGUUGAUUUUUAUAUGUUGAACUACCCUUGACAUCCUGGAGUAAAUCCUACUUGGUCUUGGUGGAUAGCCAUCUUAAUGUGCUGCUGCAUUCAGUUUGCUAGUAUUUUGUUAAGAAUUUUUGCAUCUGUAUCCACAAGGGCUAUUGGUCUGGGUUUUCUUUUGAUGGGUUUGGCUUUGGUACCAUGGUAAUGUUGGCCUUGUAGAAUGUUAGGAAGUAUUCUCUCCUCUUAAGUUUUUGGGAAGAUUUUGAGAAAGAUUGGUGUUAAUUCUUUUUUAAAGUUGGUUUGGUUGAAUUCAUCAGUGAAACCAUUUGAUCCUGGGCUUUUGUUGUUAUUGGGAAGUUUUUAAGUGUUGAUCCAAUCUCUUUACUGGUUAUAGGUCUGUUCAGAUUUUCUAUAUCUUCUUGAGUCAGUUUUGAUAGUUUGUGUGUUUUUAGGAAUUUCAUUUCAAUUCAUCUAGAUUAUCUAAUUUGUUGCUGUACAAUUUUUUAUAGUAGUCUUUUAUAAUCCUUUAUACUUGUGUAAUGUCCCCACUUUCAUUUAAGUUUUAGUAAUUUGAGUCUUCCUUCUGUUUUUCCUGGUCAGUCUAGCUAUAAGUUUAAUUUUGUUGAUAUUUUCAAAGAAUCAACUUUUGUUUUCAUUGAUUCUCUCUAUUGUUUUCCUAUUCUCUAUUUCAUUUAUCUCCACUCUAAUGUUUAUUAUUUCCUCCUUCUGCUAGUUUUUGGUUUAUCUGCUCUUCUUUUUUUUAGUUCCUGAACAUGUAAAGUUAGGUUGUUGAUUUGAGAUCUUAUUUUUUAAUGUAGGCAUUUACAGUUAUAAAUUUCCCUCUGAGAGCUCCUUUUUCUGCAUCCCAUAAGUUUUGGGAUCUUGUGUUUUAAUAUUCUUUUGUCUCAAAGGAUUUGCUAAGUCUCCUUGUGAUUUCUUCUUUGACCCAUUGAUUGUUUAAGAGUGUGUUGUUUAAUUUCUGCAUUUUUGUGAAUUUUCCAGCUUUCCUUCUGUUAUUGAUUUCUAGUUUCACUGCAUUAUUGCCUGAGAAGAUACUUUGUGGGUAAUUUCAACCUUUUAAAAUUUACUGAAACUUGUUUUGUGGCCUGACAUACGAUCUAUCCUUGUGAAUCUUCCAGGAACACUUGAAAAGAAUAUAUAUUAUGCUAUUGUCGAGGAGAGUGUUUUGUAUGUGUCAGUUAAGUCAUGUUGGCUUAUGAUGUUUUUCAAGUGCUCUCUUCCUUAUUGAUCUUCUGUCCAGUUGUUCUAGUCAUUGUGAAAGUGAGUGUAGUGAAAUCUCCAACUAUUAUUAUAGAAUUGUAUAUUUCUCUCUUCAAUUCUGUCAGUUUUUCUCUUGAAAUAUUUUGGGGCUCUGUUGUAGAUGUAUAUAUGUUUAUAAUUGUUAUGUCUUUUUGAUGGAUUGUAUCUUCAUCAUUAUAAAAUGUUCUCCCUUGUCUGAAGUAAAAAUUUUUGCCUUAAAAUCUAUUUUGCCUUAUUAGUAUAGCCACUGCAGCUCUCUUUUGGUUACUAUUUGCAUGGAUUAUCUUUUUUCCAUUCUUUCACUUUCAAUUUCCCUAUGUGUUUGGAUCUAAAAAGAGUCUCUUGUAGACAGCAUAUAGUUGGAUCAUUUAAAAAAUCCAUUUGGCCAAUCUCUGCCUUUUAAUUGAAAAGUAUAUUAGACAGCGUACUCCAGAGAAACAGAACCAACAGUAUAUAUAUAGUGGAGGCUUGGAAAGUCCAAAAUCUGAUGAAGUAGGCUGGUGGGCUGGAGACUCAGAAAAGAGUUGCCGUUUGAGUCCAAAGUCAGUCUGUUGGCAGAAUUCCUUCUUGGUCAGGUUCGAUCAGUCUUUGUUCUAUCAAGGCCUUUAAGUGAUUGGAUGAGGCCAACUCACACUAUGGAAGGUCAUCUGCUUUACUCAAAGUCCCCUGAUUUAAAUGUUAAACUCAUCCAAAAAAAUACGUUCACAGAAACAUCCAGAAUCGUCUUUGACCAACUAUGUGGGUACUGUGGCCCAGCCAAGUUGACACAUAAAAUGGACCAUCAGAAGUCCACUCCUUGUCAACUUGGCACUCAUACACAGCUCCUUAAAGAAUACUUAAUCUCCAAAUAAAGACAAUAACAAGGUCACACUUCUGCCUAACAUGAUAUAACUAUCCUGCGUACAACCCAAGACAUACUAACACUUUCCUCAGAAGAGAAUGGAAAAGUCCUUGGGUGAUGUUUACUCUUCUUGAUAUCCUGUAACUUAAAUCCUAUGAUAUAAAGUCAAUGCAUCUUGUAUUACAUGAUAAAGGGAUAAGAGAAGGAAGAAGGGCCAGCUCCGGGGCCGAGUGGUUAAAUUCACGCACUCCACUUUGCGGUGCCAUGUCCAUGCCUAGGAUCCAAACUGGCAAAGCUCUGGGCCACUGAAGCGGAGCUCGUGAACUUAACCACUUGGCCCCGGGGCUGGACCCGACAAAACAACCUUAUGUUGGAAGAAGAUGCCAUCUAAGACUUUCACAGCUAGAGAGGAGAAGUCAGUGCCUGGCUCCAAAGCUUCAAAGGACAGGCUGACUCUUUUAUUAGGGGCUAAUGCAGCUGAUGACUUUAAGUUGAAGCCAGCGUUCAUUUACCAUUGCGAAAAUCCUAGGGCCCUUAAGAAUUAGGCUAACUCUACUCUGCCUGUGCUCUAUAAAUGCAACAACAAAGCUUGGAUGACAGCAUAUUGGUUUACUGAAUAUUUUAAGCCCACUGUUGAGAGCUACUGCUCAGGAGAAAAGAUUCCUUUCAAAAUAUCACCGCUUGCUGACAGUGCACCUGGUCGCCCAAGAGCUCUGAUGGAAAAAUGUACAAUGAGAUUAAUGUGGUUUUCAUGCCUGCUAACACAACAUCCAUUCUGCAGCCCAUGCAUCAAGGAGUAAUUUUGACUUUCAAGUCUUAUCAUUUAAGAAAUACAUUUUGGAAGGCUAUAGCUGCCAUAGAUUGUCAUUCCUCUGACAGACCUGCCGAAGUAAAUUGAAAACCCUCUGGAAAGGAUCCACUAUUCUAGAUGCCAUUAAGAAGAUUCGUGAUUCAUGGGAAAAGGUCAAAAUAUCAACAUUAACAGGAGUUUGGAAGGAGUUGAUUCCAGCCCUCAGGGAUGACUGUGAGGGGUUCAGGACGUCAGCGGAGGAAGUAACUGCAGAUGUGGUGGAAACGGCAAGAGAACUAGAAGUAGGCGUGGAGCUGAAGACGUGACUGAACUGCUGCCAUCUCAUGAGAAAACUUUAAUGCAUGAGGAGCUGCCCCUUAUGGAUGAGCAAAGAAAGUGGUUUCUUGAGAUGGAGUCUACUCCUGGUCAAGAUGCUGUGAAGGUUGGUGAAAUGAAAACAAAGGAUUUAGAACAUGACAUAAACUUAGUUGAAAAAUCAGUGUCAGGGCUUGAGAGGAUUUUGAAAGAAGUUCUGUGGUGGGUAAAAUGCUAUCAAACAGCAUCGCAUGCUGCAGAGAAAUCGUUCAUGAAAGGAAGAGUCAAUCGAUGCGGCAAGUUUCAUUGUUGUCUUAUUUUAAGAAAUUGACACAGCCACCCAACCUUCAGCAACCACCACCUUGAUGAGUCAGCAGCCGUCAAUGUGGAGGCAAGACUCUCUGCUAGCAGAAAGAUUAUAACUUGCUGAAGGCUCAGAUGAUGGUUAGUAUUUUUUAGCAAAGUAUUUUUAAGUUAAGGUAUGUACAUAGUUUUUUUAGACAUAAUCUUAUUGCAUGCUUAAUAGACUACAGUAUAGUAUAAACAUAACAUUUUUUUCUAAACAACAGGUAUUACUAUCUCACAUUGUUUUUUAUGCUCUUUUGGUGAGGAAGAGUGGCCCUGAUCUAACAGCUGUUGCCAAUCUUCAUCUUCUAUUUUUCUCCGCAAAGCCCCAGUACAUAGUUGUAUAUCCUAGUUGUAAGUCCCUCUACGUCUUCUAUGUGGGAUGCCACCACAGCAUGGCUUGAUGAGGGGUGUGUAGGCCCCUGCCAAGGACCAGAACCAGCAAACCCUUGGCCACUGAAGUGGAGCACGGUGAACUUAAUGACUACACGACCAGGCUGUCCCUAAACAUAACUUUUGUAUGCACUGGGAAACCAAAAAAUUCGUGUGACUCACUUUAUUGUGAUAUUUGCUUUAUUGUGGUGGCCUGGAACCAAACCUGCAAUAUCUCUGAGGUAUGCCUGUAUAUCAAACUCUGCACUUAUAUUCCUCCUCUCCCCUUUAAGUAGUUAUUGUCAGAAAUUACAUCUUUUUUUUUUUUUUACAUUGUGUGCUGUUAACAUAUAUAUGUAAUUAUUUUUUGAAUUUGUCUUAUAAAUCAUAUGGAAAUAAAAAGAGAGUUACAAUCUCAGAAUUCAAUAAUACUGGCUUUAAAAAAAUUUUUUUAGUUUUUUAUUUCUUUG
Equus caballus (horse) is the source of this 27040-nucleotide long non-coding RNA. The record is from Ensembl. NCBI's taxonomy places the organism in Eukaryota, Metazoa, Chordata, Mammalia, Perissodactyla, Equidae.